GACGAACGCUGGCGGCGUGCCUAAUACAUGCAAGUAGAACGCUGAAGAGAGGAGCUUGCUCUUCUUGGAUGAGUUGCGAACGGGUGAGUAACGCGUAGGUAACCUGCCUUGUAGCGGGGGAUAACUAUUGGAAACGAUAGCUAAUACCGCAUAACAAUGGAUGACACAUGUCAUUUAUUUGAAAGGGGCAAUUGCUCCACUACAAGAUGGACCUGCGUUGUAUUAGCUAGUAGGUGAGGUAAUGGCUCACCUAGGCGACGAUACAUAGCCGACCUGAGAGGGUGAUCGGCCACACUGGGACUGAGACACGGCCCAGACUCCUACGGGAGGCAGCAGUAGGGAAUCUUCGGCAAUGGGGGCAACCCUGACCGAGCAACGCCGCGUGAGUGAAGAAGGUUUUCGGAUCGUAAAGCUCUGUUGUAAGUCAAGAACGGGUGUGAGAGUGGAAAGUUCACACUGUGACGGUAGCUUACCAGAAAGGGACGGCUAACUACGUGCCAGCAGCCGCGGUAAUACGUAGGUCCCGAGCGUUGUCCGGAUUUAUUGGGCGUAAAGCGAGCGCAGGCGGUUUGAUAAGUCUGAAGUUAAAGGCUGUGGCUCAACCAUAGUUCGCUUUGGAAACUGUCAAACUUGAGUGCAGAAGGGGAGAGUGGAAUUCCAUGUGUAGCGGUGAAAUGCGUAGAUAUAUGGAGGAACACCGGUGGCGAAAGCGGCUCUCUGGUCUGUAACUGACGCUGAGGCUCGAAAGCGUGGGGAGCGAACAGGAUUAGAUACCCUGGUAGUCCACGCCGUAAACGAUGAGUGCUAGGUGUUGGAUCCUUUCCGGGAUUCAGUGCCGCAGCUAACGCAUUAAGCACUCCGCCUGGGGAGUACGACCGCAAGGUUGAAACUCAAAGGAAUUGACGGGGGCCCGCACAAGCGGUGGAGCAUGUGGUUUAAUUCGAAGCAACGCGAAGAACCUUACCAGGUCUUGACAUCCCGAUGCUAUUUCUAGAGAUAGAAAGUUACUUCGGUACAUCGGUGACAGGUGGUGCAUGGUUGUCGUCAGCUCGUGUCGUGAGAUGUUGGGUUAAGUCCCGCAACGAGCGCAACCCCUAUUGUUAGUUGCCAUCAUUCAGUUGGGCACUCUAGCGAGACUGCCGGUAAUAAACCGGAGGAAGGUGGGGAUGACGUCAAAUCAUCAUGCCCCUUAUGACCUGGGCUACACACGUGCUACAAUGGUUGGUACAACGAGUCGCGAGUCGGUGACGGCGAGCUAAUCUCUUAAAGCCAAUCUCAGUUCGGAUUGUAGGCUGCAACUCGCCUACAUGAAGUCGGAAUCGCUAGUAAUCGCGGAUCAGCACGCCGCGGUGAAUACGUUCCCGGGCCU
RNAcentral lists this ribosomal RNA (1369 nucleotides) under uncultured bacterium. RNAcentral's name for it is "bacterial SSU rRNA". It matches the Rfam family "Bacterial small subunit ribosomal RNA", at positions 28 to 1381 of the family's 1533-position model. The record is from RNAcentral.